This 301-nucleotide ribosomal RNA is filed under the name uncultured bacterium. Its description in RNAcentral is "partial 16S ribosomal RNA". It matches the Rfam family "Bacterial small subunit ribosomal RNA", at positions 509 to 807 of the family's 1533-position model. The record is from RNAcentral.
CAGCAGCCGCGGGAAUACAGAGGGUGCAAGCGUUAAUCGGAAUUACUGGGCGUAAAGCGCGCGUAGGUGGUUUGUUAAGUUGGAUGUGAAAUCCCCGGGCUCAACCUGGGAACUGCAUCCAAAACUGGCAAGCUAGAGUAUGGUAGAGGGUGGUGGAAUUUCCUGUGUAGCGGUGAAAUGCGUAGAUAUAGGAAGGAACACCAGUGGCGAAGGCGACCACCUGGACUGAUACUGACACUGAGGUGCGAAAGCAUGGGGAGCAAACAGGAUUAGAUACCCCCGUAGUCCCUGUCUCUUAUAC